CUGAACUCAUUGUCAUGUUUAUGAAACCAGUGUGAGUUGGAGACGACUUUUCUUUUGUGACAUGGUGCAUUAUCAUGCUGGAAGUAGCCAUUAGAAGAUAAGAUUAAAAGAUUAGAAGGUAAAGUGUGGUCAUGAAGGGAUGAACAAGGUCAGGAACAAUACACAAAUAGGCCAUGGCAUUCAAGCCGUGAUUGAUUGGUACUGUAUUAACGGGCCAAAAGUGUGCCAAGAAAACAUUCCCCACACCAUUACACCACCUCCACCAGCCCGGACUGUUCACACAAACAAGGUUGGGUCCAUGGAUUCAUGCAGUUGUUGCCAAAUUCUGACCCUACCAUAUGUGUGCCUAUGAAAUCCAGAUUAAUCAGACCAGGCUACGCUUUCCAAGUCUUCAACUGUCCAGUUUGGGUGAGCCUGUGCCCACUGCAGCCUCAGCUUUCCACUGUGUGCUGUUGUAGCUCAUUUGCCUCAAGAACUGCCGCUUACUGGAUGUUCUUCUGUUCUCCACUUUACAGCGUGUAGUGUGUGAAAAUCCCAAGAGAUCUUCAGUGAUAGAAAUGCUUAAACCAGCCUGUCUACAUAUAUAUAUAUAUAUAGGCGAGCAGGAAAAAUCAUCAGUGACACCUCCCACCCUGCUAAUUACCUUUUCCAAAAACUACCAUCAGGAAAGCGCUUCCGUGAUGAUAAAAACUGUACACCAUCGAAACAGCUUCUUUCCAGUGGAACUUUGUUAUUCACCAGACUGGCUGGGCAGCAUUCAGUAUUCACUACAAUGCCGUCCUGCCAGUAACUAGCAAUCUUCCACUAAAUGUUCAUAUCGUUGCUGUUAUUUAUUAUAUAUACCACAGUUGUUCCACUCUGUUUAAUGCACCCUGAACUGCAUCCAGCUGCUAUUUCUACCUCCACUGUAAUGUAAAUUACAACGGAGAAUACCAUUUCCGCUUAAGGUUUGUCUGUCUGUCUGUCUGUCUGUCUGUCUACUGGUCUCUCUCUCUAACUCUUGUAUGUUUGUAUGCGUAUUUGUGUGUGUGUGUGUAUCUACCUAACUAAUACAUUGCGAGCCAUAGCCAUAAAAAUAAAGCUAAUAAUAAUAGUAAUAAAUCAUACUCUUGACUAAAUAUUCGUAUCUUUUUGGCUUCUGCGCCAUGCUCUUAUGAACACCACAGCGUGUUCCUGCCGGGAAACUCCACUCCUCCAGUACUCUGCUCUUAUCCUCUGUUUGCAAAUGAUCGGUACAUCAAUUAUACAAGUAGCUUUUAGCCAGAAUGAUGAAUACAUAUGCUGACGUGAUUGAAACCUUUAAUUUCAUUCCUGGCCAGCAACAGUAGCCGCAGUCCAACACAAACACAAUGAAGCACUUGGUCCCAGUAGCCGUGGUUAAUAACUCAUUCACAUCAUGUCACAGGUACAUUGAUCACAAGAUGGCAACUUUGAGCUGUUUGUCUCCUUGGACUGAAAAAUUUGUCGUUUCUAUGGCAACACAGACGACACUAAUGGGGAGGAUGUCUAAAACAUAGCAGCUAGCUACAGUAUGUUGGAAAGCUGGACUACACUAUACUCGAAAUUAAUAGUCGAAAAAAGAUAAGGACGAUAACGCCUGAGAGAUAUGGAGGACUUAAUUCAAUUUGGAGCAUUCUGAAGAUUUUAAUAUUCCACCUGGUAAUUAUGUAAGGAUUGAACUACUUCGGGGCGCACGGUUAGCAUGUUCGCCUCACACCUCCAGGGUCGGGGGUUUGAUUCCCACCGUGGCCCUGUGUGUGUGGAGUUUGCAUGUUCUCCCCGUGCUGCGGGGGUUUCCUCUGGGUACUCUGGUUUCCUCCCCCAGUCCAAAGACAUGCAUGGUAGGCUGAUUGGCGUGUCCAAAGUGUCCGUAGUGUAUGAAUGUGUGUGUGAUUGUGCUCUGUGAUGGAUGCUCCCUGGGAUAGGCUCCAGGUUUCUGUGUGACCCUGAAAAGGAGUAAGCGGUAUGAUGGAUGGAUGGAUGAAACGCUUCAGUGUGAUACCACAAUUUUCAACUUCAUACUUUUUUUUUAUCCAUUUAUAGUUACAUUUAAUGUUGUGGAACAUCCAUGAAACGAGCUAGCUCCUUUUAUCACUUGCGUUAUAGCAGCUGAAACUGGAGACUCCUUCCCAUUCCCAUGUUCCUUCUCGCUCUGGCUUCUCUGAAUAAGGAGGUCAGGAUGAGAUGACCUCCGAGCUGAGAUGGUCACUGAAUCGUCUGGAAACACUUUGUUUAAAAGGGCACUUAAAACCCUCUUCCUGAAGGGUGGAGGGUUUGAAAGGAAACACUCUUUAAAAGGCAGCCUGUGAUACAGCAUACCUCGACGAGUUCCCAAUCAUAUUAUAGGAAAUGAUGCUGCGCUACAAACUCCUACAAACUCCUAAAUGUAUGUGUAUUGACAAAGCCGUUGACGCUAAGUGAAAGAGCGUCAUGGUCAUGAAGCAGGAAGCCAGCGGACACCGGGAGCUCUUUAAAAGUCUCAUACAUGCACGAGGAAAUUAGCAGUGCGUACAGUGGCUUGUAUACGUAUUAUACUCAUAUUAUAAUGAAGGAUCUAUACAAGCAGUCCAUAAUAUUGAAAUAGGAUUGCAGAAAUAUUCACCUCCGUUGCUGUCAAGCCCCUAAAUGAGUUCCAGUGCAACCAGUUGCCAUAAUUAGCUGUGUGCAAUUAAAGUGUCACUUGAUUUCACCUGUUCCUGAAAGAACUUAUCAGAGAACAUACCUAAACAAACAGCAUGUUGAAGACUACAGUACGGUGGCCCGUACGUGAAAAACAAACCAAAAUUGCAACAGCAACAGAAAACACAAUUUCUUUUAGUUAUUUAUGCUAAAGUUUGGUAUUAAUAUUGAGUUUAAGUGAACACCUGCCUUUUUUCACGUGUCCUGAAUUUGACCUUUCUGUGCUUGAAGUUCUAAGUUAACCAUCUAUGUGGCUGACGAGUGAUGGGAUCACAACAUGUCUUCAUGAUACAUUGGACCCUGUUAACUUUGUACCAGUUGUGUGUGAAUGGAAUACCCGAGACAAGUGGGUCGCCCCUAUAUUUUCUCCCUAAUUUAGUCUUGACCAGGUCCCACCCACCAUCCAGCUCUCCCUUAUCAUAUGAUAGCUACCAACCGGGGAGGGUGAACACGUGAACACAUGCUUCUUCUAAAAAGCUGCGAAGCCAGCCAGCGAUAUCCGCCGUCUUCCGCAUACAUGGCUCACACAUGAUUGGCUAGUGUCGCUGUGAUUGACAGGAUGGUGAGAGUUUGCCCGAUUGAUCGUCAACGACAUGUAAAUCAUUUGUUGCCAUGCCACUGCCAGUACUGGUGCUUGGUUCCAGAACAUCAACAUUGUCAAGAAAUGAAAUGUGGAAAAAUUAUAACUGUCUCUCUCUCUCUCUAUCUCUCACUCUCUCUGUAGCUCUCUCUCUCUUCCUCUUUCUGUUUUUUUUCUUUUUGACUAUUCGCUUUCUGUCU
Long non-coding RNA from Ictalurus furcatus (blue catfish), 3459 nucleotides. RefSeq lists it as uncharacterized. The record is from RefSeq and is a predicted model, not a curated record. The transcript has 4 exons. Lineage: Eukaryota; Metazoa; Chordata; Actinopteri; Siluriformes; Ictaluridae.